Molecule: non-coding RNA, 192 nt
Filed under: Flavobacterium hibernum
Lineage: Bacteria; Pseudomonadati; Bacteroidota; Flavobacteriia; Flavobacteriales; Flavobacteriaceae
Also listed under: 1 other name
Source: RNAcentral
AUUUUAAAAACAGAAAUUGGUUGUCAUAUUGAUAAAAUAUUGACAUUAAAAGGGAAUUUGGUGUAACUCCAAAACUGUCCCGCAGCUGUAAGCUCAUUAACUGAAACCCUUUAAUAAGUCACUUUUCAUCUAGAAAGGGAAGGCUGGGUGUAGGGAGCAAGUCAGAAGACCUGCCAUUUUCAUAGUAAUAAU